Molecule: ribosomal RNA, 541 nt
Filed under: uncultured bacterium
Lineage: Bacteria
Description: partial 16S ribosomal RNA
Rfam family: Bacterial small subunit ribosomal RNA
Source: RNAcentral
UGGGGAAUAUUGCACAAUGGGCGCAAGCCUGAUGCAGCCAUGCCGCGUGUGUGAAGAAGGCCUUCGGGUUGUAAAGCAACUUUCAGCGAGGAGGAAGGUGGUGAACUUAAUACGUUCAUCAAUUGACGUUACUCGCAGAAGAAGCACCGGCUAACUCCGUGCCAGCAGCCGCGGUAAUACGGAGGGUGCAAGCGUUAAAUCGGAAUUACUGGGCGUAAAAGCGCACGCAGGCGGUUUGUUAAGUCAGAUGUGAAAUCCCCGGGCUCAACCUGGGAACUGCAUUUGAAAACUGGCAAGCUAGAGUCUCGUAGAGGGGGGUAGAAAUUCCAGGUGUAGCGGUGAAAAUGCGUAGAGAUCUGGAGGAAUACCGGUGGCGAAAGGCGGCCCCCUGGACGAAGACUGACGCUCAGGUGCGAAAAGCGUGGGGAGCAAAACAGGAUUAGAUAACCCUGGUAGUCCACGCUGUAAAACGAUGUCGAAUUUUGGAGGUUGUGCCCUUGAGGCGUGGCUUCCGGAGCUAAACGCGUUAAAAUCGACCGCC